Molecule: ribosomal RNA, 377 nt
Filed under: uncultured bacterium
Lineage: Bacteria
Description: bacterial SSU rRNA
Rfam family: Bacterial small subunit ribosomal RNA
Source: RNAcentral
AUACGUAGGUGGCGAGCGUUGUCCGGAAUUACUGGGUGUAAAGGGCGUGUAGGCGGGAAUGUAAGUCAGAUGUGAAAUACCGAGGCUUAACUUCGGGGGUGCAUCUGAAACUAUGUUUCUUGAGUGCUGGAGAGGGAAGCGGAAUUCCUAGUGUAGCGGUGAAAUGCGUAGAUAUUAGGAGGAACACCAGUGGCGAAGGCGGCUUUCUGGACAGUAACUGACGCUGAGGCGCGAAAGCGUGGGUAGCGAACAGGAUUAGAUACCCUGGUAGUCCACGCCGUAAACGAUGGAUACUAGGUGUAGGAGGUAUCGACCCCUUCUGUGCCGGAGUUAACACAAUAAGUAUCCCACCUGGGGAGUACGGCCGCAAGGUUGAA